CAGUAGCCGCGGGAAUACGAAGGGUGCAAGCGUUAAUCGGAAUUACUGGGCGUAAAGCGUGCGUAGGCGGUGAGUUAAGUCUGCUGUGAAAUCCCCGGGCUCAACCUGGGAAUUGCAGUGGAUACUGGAUCACUAGAGUGUGGUAGAGGAUAGUGGAAUUUCCGGUGUAGCAGUGAAAUGCGUAGAGAUCGGAAGGAACAUCUGUGGCGAAGGCGACUAUCUGGGCCAACACUGACACUGAGGCACGAAAGCGUGGGGAGCAAACAGGAUUAGAUACCCGUGUAGUCCCUGUCUCUUAUAC
This 301-nucleotide ribosomal RNA is filed under the name uncultured bacterium. RNAcentral describes it as "partial 16S ribosomal RNA". It matches the Rfam family "Bacterial small subunit ribosomal RNA", at positions 509 to 807 of the family's 1533-position model. The record is from RNAcentral.